CAGUCCGAAUGUCUAGCUGUACAGGACUUGGACAAUCCCUUUGGGAUUGACACAUUUAAACCAGAGAAGUCACAGAACCCGUUUCAAGAGGACGUUUUUGACCCACUGAAAUACAUGAAUAUUUCGGAUGGAGACAAUGUUGUGGCAACAGACCAAGUUGAGAUGAGAAGGAAGACGAGCCCAAUGGUUGAGGACAAUAUGACGGACUCCACACCCGGUCUACGUAAGGCAGAGAGUAGAGACUCCCUGGAUCUGCUAGAGGAAUACUACAAUGAGGAGGACAGCGGGGCAUUCCCCGACUCCCUAAAGAUGAU
This is a long non-coding RNA of Saccostrea cuccullata (small rock oyster), 314 nucleotides long. RefSeq lists it as uncharacterized. The record is from RefSeq and is a predicted model, not a curated record. NCBI's taxonomy places the organism in Eukaryota, Metazoa, Mollusca, Bivalvia, Ostreida, Ostreidae. The transcript has 3 exons.